UGAGUGGUAGUCCAGUUGGUUAUGCACGUGUGUUUGAGUCGUUGUGGUCGCGGGUUCGAAUCCCGGUCACGCAU
RNAcentral lists this transfer RNA (74 nucleotides) under Helianthus annuus (common sunflower). RNAcentral describes it as "tRNA HanXRQr2_Chr02g0074191". The record is from RNAcentral. Lineage: Eukaryota; Viridiplantae; Streptophyta; Magnoliopsida; Asterales; Asteraceae.